ACGGGUGAGUAAUAUAUCGGAACGUACCGAGUAAUGGGGGAUAACUAAUCGAAAGAUUAGCUAAUACCGCAUAUUCUCUGAGGAGGAAAGCAGGAGACCUUCGGGCCUUGCGUUAUUCGAGCGGCCGAUAUCUGAUUAGCUAGUUGGUGGGGUAAAGGCCUACCAAGCCGACGAUCUCUAGCUGGUCUGAGAGGAUGACCAGCCACACUGGGACUGAGACACGGCCCAGACUCCUACGGGAGGCAGCAGUGGGGAAUAUUGCGCAAUGGGGGCAACCCUGACGCAGCCAUGCCGCGUGAAUGAAGAAGGCCUUCGGGUUGUAAAGUUCUUUCGGUAGCGAGGAAGGCAUUUAGUUUAAUAGACUAGGUGAUUGACGUUAACUACAGAAGAAGCACCGGCUAACUCCGUGCCAGCAGCCGCGGUAAUACGGAGGGUGCGAGCGUUAAUCGGAAUAACUGGGCGUAAAGGGCACGCAGGCGGUGACUUAAGUGAGGUGUGAAAGCCCCGGGCUUAACCUGGGAAUUGCAUUUCAUACUGGGUCGCUAGAGUACUUUAGGGAGGGGUAGAAUUCCACGUGUAGCGGUGAAAUGCGUAGAGAUGUGGAGGAAUACCGAAGGCGAAGGCAGCCCCUUGGGAAUGUACUGACGCUCAUGUGCGAAAGCGUGGGGAGCAAACAGGAUUAGAUACCCU
This 690-nucleotide ribosomal RNA is filed under the name uncultured bacterium. RNAcentral's name for it is "bacterial SSU rRNA". It matches the Rfam family "Bacterial small subunit ribosomal RNA", at positions 102 to 788 of the family's 1533-position model. The record is from RNAcentral.